UACGGAGGGGGCAAGCGUUAUCCGGAUUUACUGGGUGUAAAGGGAGUGUAGACGGCAUGGUAAGUCAGAUGUGAAAGCCCGGGGCUCAACCCCGGGACUGCAUUUGAAACUAUCAAGCUGGAGUGCAGGAGAGGUGAGUGGAAUUCCUAGUGUAGCGGUGAAAUGCGUAGAGAUUAGGAGGAAUAUCGGUGGCGAAGGCGGCUAACUGGACAGUAACUGACGCUGAGGCGCGAAAGCGUGGGGAGCAAACAGG
This 253-nucleotide ribosomal RNA is filed under the name uncultured prokaryote. RNAcentral describes it as "partial 16S ribosomal RNA". It matches the Rfam family "Bacterial small subunit ribosomal RNA", at positions 524 to 776 of the family's 1533-position model. The record is from RNAcentral.